CAGCCGCCGCGGUAAUACCGGCGGCCCGAGUGGCGGUCACUAUUAUUGGGCUUAAAACGUCCGUAGCCGGGUUGGGAAGUCCUCCGGGAAAUCUGGCCGCUUAACGGUCAGAAUGCCGGAGGAUACUCCCAGCCUAGGGAGCGGGGGAGGCCGAGGGGAUUCCCGGAGUAGGGGUGAAAUCCUAUAAUCCCGGGGGGACCACCUGUGGCGAAGGCGCUCGGCUGGAACGCGUCCGACGGUGAGGGACGAAGGCCAGGGGAGCAAACCGGAUUAGAUACCCGGGUAGUCCUGGCGGUAAACGAUGCGGACUUUGUGUCGGACAAGCUAUGAGCUUGUCCGGUGCCGGAGGGAAACCGUUAAGUCCGCCGCCUGGGGAGUACGGCCGCAAGGCUGAAACUUAAAGGAAUUGGCGGG
This 414-nucleotide ribosomal RNA is filed under the name uncultured microorganism. Its description in RNAcentral is "bacterial SSU rRNA". It matches the Rfam family "Archaeal small subunit ribosomal RNA", at positions 459 to 872 of the family's 1478-position model. The record is from RNAcentral.